RNAcentral lists this ribosomal RNA (739 nucleotides) under Bacillus sp. I12B-01179. Its description in RNAcentral is "bacterial SSU rRNA". It matches the Rfam family "Bacterial small subunit ribosomal RNA", at positions 63 to 785 of the family's 1533-position model. Lineage: Bacteria; Bacillati; Bacillota; Bacilli; Caryophanales; Bacillaceae. The record is from RNAcentral.
CGAGCGGACAGAAGGGAGCUUGCUCCCGGAUGUUAGCGGCGGACGGGUGAGUAACACGUGGGUAACCUGCCUGUAAGACUGGGAUAACUCCGGGAAACCGGAGCUAAUACCGGAUAGUUCCUUGAACCGCAUGGUUCAAGGAUGAAAGACGGUUUCGGCUGUCACUUACAGAUGGACCCGCGGCGCAUUAGCUAGUUGGUGAGGUAACGGCUCACCAAGGCGACGAUGCGUAGCCGACCUGAGAGGGUGAUCGGCCACACUGGGACUGAGACACGGCCCAGACUCCUACGGGAGGCAGCAGUAGGGAAUCUUCCGCAAUGGACGAAAGUCUGACGGAGCAACGCCGCGUGAGUGAUGAAGGUUUUCGGAUCGUAAAGCUCUGUUGUUAGGGAAGAACAAGUGCAAGAGUAACUGCUUGCACCUUGACGGUACCUAACCAGAAAGCCACGGCUAACUACGUGCCAGCAGCCGCGGUAAUACGUAGGUGGCAAGCGUUGUCCGGAAUUAUUGGGCGUAAAGGGCUCGCAGGCGGUUUCUUAAGUCUGAUGUGAAAGCCCCCGGCUCAACCGGGGAGGGUCAUUGGAAACUGGGAAACUUGAGUGCAGAAGAGGAGAGUGGAAUUCCACGUGUAGCGGUGAAAUGCGUAGAGAUGUGGAGGAACACCAGUGGCGAAGGCGACUCUCUGGUCUGUAACUGACGCUGAGGAGCGAAAGCGUGGGGAGCGAACAGGAUUAGAUAC